UACGGAGGAUCCGAGCGUUAUCCGGAUUUAUUGGGUUUAAAGGGUGCUCAGGCGGGCCAUUAAGUCGGCGGUGAAAUUUUGCGGCUCACCCGUAAAAGUGCCUUCGAUACUGGUGGUCUUGAGUGUGGAUGAGGUAGGCGGAAUUUGUGGUGUAGCGGUGAAAUGCAUAGAUAUCACGAGGAACUCCGAUUGCUAAGGCAGCUUACUAAGCCAUAACUGACGCUCAAGCACGAAGGCGUGGGGAUCAAACAGGAUUAGAUACCCUGGUA
This 269-nucleotide ribosomal RNA is filed under the name uncultured prokaryote. Its description in RNAcentral is "partial 16S ribosomal RNA". It matches the Rfam family "Bacterial small subunit ribosomal RNA", at positions 524 to 792 of the family's 1533-position model. The record is from RNAcentral.